Molecule: long non-coding RNA, 808 nt
Filed under: Ananas comosus (pineapple)
Lineage: Eukaryota; Viridiplantae; Streptophyta; Magnoliopsida; Poales; Bromeliaceae
Description: long non-coding RNA (ACOM_LNC037530)
Source: RNAcentral
UGAAUUUAUUUUAUAAGGACAAUUGCUUAUAUAUUCUUGAAAAAUUUUUAACUCUUCGAUUUAUCCUUCUUAGAAGGUCAAUAUUAAAAAUACCCUUUCUACGUGCCAACCUAUUUCUAAUAUAUCUCUAUAAUUAAAAUCUAUUAAUUAAUUCUAUUAUAUCUGUAAAAUUAUUAUUUUGUCUUUUCAAAUAUAUCCUUCAACCAUCACUGACUUUCUUAUUUGCCCUUAAAGUCAGGGGCACAAAAAGUAUUUUGACUUUUGGUCUUUUCUAAUAUAUCCCUCUACCGUCACCAAUAUUUCUUAUUUGCCCUUAAGUUAAGAGCAAAAUUGACAUUUUAAUUUUUUUUAACUGUGGUAGAUAUUUAACUUAAGUUUAACCUAAGUUAACUUAAGAAAAGAUAACUGCGGGGGUAUUUUGCAAUAACGGUGGAACAUAUGAGGAAUAUUUUAGAAAGAAAAAAAAAAGAAUAAAUCGGAUAUUUUCAAACGUAUGAGUGAUAUAUAGGUAAUUAUCCAUAUUUUAUAUUAUAUAUAAUAUGUAUAUAAAUAUUUGAUAUUAUAUUUAAAUUUAUAUUUUAAAAAAUUAUACUUAAUGUAAUAUAUUUUAAAAUAUUGAAAAUAAAAAUAAUUGUUUUGGGUUUGGAAUUUUGGGCUCGAGCUCUGUCUCGGAUUACGAAUAUUUCGCCAGGUUUUUGUUUGAAUAUGAAUUUUAAAAUCCAUCGGAUUCACGUUCGGAUUUGAUUUUCGGGUUUAAAAUCGGGUUUGUGUUCGGAUUUUUAAAAAUUCACCCCGAAUCCGACCGGUU